ACCUUUGAUGGGAGACUCGCAAGCGCUAAUGAGCUUCUUUGCCGACAGGUGGAGAGAGGGCCUCGGACCCACAGUCAGAGGCACAGUCUGCAGGCUGGGGGAGCAGACGCUAUUUAUAAAGCUUCUCUCCGGGGUCGGUCACCGGCGGUCAAAGCCUGGGAGCUCCUCUGCCCGGGCCACUCCCGAUGCUCUGGGUGUACGCGGAGCCACGGUCCCCUCUCCCUUCGCCAGUGCCCUGAGGCGGAUGGAUCCGACGGGAGCGGCCACCGACCAGAACCAAGUGGAACUGCAUUAAAGCGAAGAUGCAAGAAAUGAUUGGGCUUAGCAUUCUUUCUCUGCUUGGCUGGAAGCUUCUCAAGAGCCAGGGGGGCUGCCUGAGAUCAGGGACCAUGCCAGCUGGGCAUCUGUUUGCCGCCCAGGACUUACUCUCCUCUGAGAAACAGCUCAUCAAACAUCCUCUGGGAACCUCCUUCUGCAUCAGCCUGGUGCCUCGUGUGGAAUUGACACCUAUGCCCGGCUCCAGUUGUGGAGCUUAAGUUAACCAGCAUCCCUCACCUCCAUUCUCCCUGUCACAGUGAUUGGCUCAGGGCUGACAUGUGACUUAGGUGGGUCCCAUCAGACGGAACCUCAAGGCUUCCCCUGGAAAUGAUGAGCCCUGUCCUUUUUCCCCUGCUGCACAUGUAGACUCCUAGGAUACUGGAAGCCACCCAGGACAGAUGCGGGUGAGGAUUAGAUGCUGGCGAGUCUGGCCAGCAAUGGAGCCAAGCAGAGCUAGGACAUGGAGAGAAAGAAACAAAGUCCUGGCCACAUGAUUUGAGCCCCUGGAUCAAGCAUUGCCUGAAACUAGAGCUCCCUUUAGACGUGUCAGUUACUUGGACGAAUAAAUCCCCUUUAUAUUUAAA
RNA transcript from Sus scrofa (pig), 902 nucleotides. RefSeq lists it as uncharacterized. NCBI's taxonomy places the organism in Eukaryota, Metazoa, Chordata, Mammalia, Artiodactyla, Suidae. The record is from RefSeq and is a predicted model, not a curated record.